GACAGAGGGUGCAAACGUUGCUCGGAAUCACUGGGCGUAAAGGGUGCGUAGGCGGGUCUUUAAGUCAGGGGUGAAAUCCUGGAGCUCAACUCCAGAACUGCCUUUGAUACUGAGGAUCUUGAGUUCGGGAGAGGUGAGUGGAACUGCGAGUGUAGAGGUGAAAUUCGUAGAUAUUCGCAAGAACACCAGUGGCGAAGGCGGCUCACUGGCCCGGUACUGACGCUGAGGUGCGAAAGCGUGGGGAGCAAACAGG
Molecule: ribosomal RNA, 253 nt
Filed under: uncultured bacterium
Lineage: Bacteria
Description: partial 16S ribosomal RNA
Rfam family: Bacterial small subunit ribosomal RNA
Source: RNAcentral